Molecule: long non-coding RNA, 129 nt
Organism: Lynx canadensis (Canada lynx)
Lineage: Eukaryota; Metazoa; Chordata; Mammalia; Carnivora; Felidae
Exons: 3
Source: RefSeq, a predicted model, not a curated record
GGGGCGCCUGGGUGGCUCAGUCGGUUGAGCACCCGACACUUGAUUUCGACUCUGGUCAUAAUCUCCGGUUCAUGAGAUCCAGCCCCAGGUCAGGCUCUGCCCUGAUAGUGUGGAGCCUGCUUGGGAUUC